GGGCUUGACAUCCCACGAACCUGGACACAGGUGCUGCAUGGCUGUCGUCAGCUCGUGUCGUGAGAUGUUGGGUUAAGUCCCGCAACGAGCGCAACCCUUGUCUGCUGUUGCCAUCAGGUUAUGCUGGGCACUCUGCGGAGACUGCCGGUGACAAACCGGAGGAAGGUGGGGAUGACGUCAAGUCCGCAUGGCCUUUAUGUCCAGGGCCACACACGUGCUACAAUGGGCGGUACAAACCGUUGCGAUCCCGCGAGGGGGAGCUAAUCGGAGAAAGCCGCUCUCAGUUCGGAUUGCAGGCUGCAACUCGCCUGCAUGAAGUUGGAAUCGCUAGUAAUCGCGGAUCAGCACGCCGCGGUGAAUACGUUCCCGGGCCUUGUACACACCGCCCGUCACAUCACGAAAGCUGGCUGUACUCGAAGUCGCUGAG
This 427-nucleotide ribosomal RNA is filed under the name bacterium enrichment culture clone TH5-19. Its description in RNAcentral is "bacterial SSU rRNA". It matches the Rfam family "Bacterial small subunit ribosomal RNA", at positions 977 to 1434 of the family's 1533-position model. The record is from RNAcentral.